Molecule: ribosomal RNA, 541 nt
Filed under: uncultured bacterium
Lineage: Bacteria
Description: bacterial SSU rRNA
Rfam family: Bacterial small subunit ribosomal RNA
Source: RNAcentral
GCCUUACACCUACGGGAGGCAGCAGUCGAGAAUCUUUCACAAUGGGGGCAACCCUGAUGGAGCGACGCCGCGUGGAGGAUAAGGUCUUCGGAUUGUAAACUCCUGUCAUGCGUGAACAAGGUUGCUUGGUUAAUACCUGGGCAAAUUGAUGGUAACGCAAGAGGAAGAGACGGCUAACUCUGUGCCAGCAGCCGCGGUAAUACAGAGGUCUCAAGCGUUGUUCGGAAUCACUGGGCGUAAAGGGUGCGUAGGUGGCGUGGUAAGUCAGAUGUGAAAGCCCGGGGCUCAACCUCGGAACUGCAUCCGAUACUGCCAUGCUAGAGUACUGGAGAGGUGACUAGAAUUCUCGGUGUAGCAGUGAAAUGCGUAGAUAUCGAGAGGAAUACCAAAGGCGUAGGCAGGUCACUGGACAGUUACUGACACUGAGGCACGAAGGCCAGGGGAGCGAACGGGAUUAGAUACCCCGGUAGUCCUGGCAGUAAACGGUGCACACUUGGUGUGGGGGGAUUCGACCCCUCCCGUGCCGGAGCUAACGCGUUAA